RNAcentral lists this ribosomal RNA (301 nucleotides) under uncultured bacterium. RNAcentral describes it as "partial 16S ribosomal RNA". It matches the Rfam family "Bacterial small subunit ribosomal RNA", at positions 509 to 809 of the family's 1533-position model. The record is from RNAcentral.
CAGUCGCCGCGGGAAUACGUAGGGUGCGAGCGUUAAUCGGAAUUACUGGGCGUAAAGCGUGCGCAGGCGGUUGUGUAAGACAGGUGUGAAAUCCCCGGGCUUAACCUGGGAACUACGCUUGUGACUGCACAGCUAGAGUAUGGCAGAGGGGGGUGGAAUUCCACGUGUAGCAGUGAAAUGCGUAGAGAUGUGGAGGAACACCGAUGGCGAAGGCAGCCCCCUGGGCCAAUACUGACGCUCAUGCACGAAAGCGUGGGGAGCAAACAGGAUUAGAUACCCCCGUAGUCCCUGUCUCUUAUAU